This 1067-nucleotide ribosomal RNA is filed under the name Alicyclobacillus sp. enrichment culture clone MRT18-10. RNAcentral's name for it is "bacterial SSU rRNA". It matches the Rfam family "Bacterial small subunit ribosomal RNA", at positions 336 to 1397 of the family's 1533-position model. The record is from RNAcentral. Lineage: Bacteria; Bacillati; Bacillota; Bacilli; Caryophanales; Alicyclobacillaceae.
CUCCUACGGGAGGCAGCAGUAGGGAAUCUUCCGCGAUGGGCGCAAGCCUGACGGAGCAACGCCGCGUGAGUGAGGAAGGCCUUCGGGUUGUAAAACUCAGUCACCUGGGAAGAGAGGUAUGGGGAGUGGAAUGCCCCAUACGAGACGGUACCAGGGGAGGAAGCCCCGGCUAACUACGUGCCAGCAGCCGCGGUAAUACGUAGGGGGCAAGCGUUGUCCGGAAUCACUGGGCGUAAAGCGUGCGUAGGCGGUCUUUCAAGUCCGGGGUGAAAACUCAAGGCUCAACCUUGAGAAUGCCUUGGAAACUGGGGGACUUGAGUACUGGAGAGGCAAGGGGAAUUCCACGUGUAGCGGUGAAAUGCGUAGAGAUGUGGAGGAAUACCAGUGGCGAAGGCGCCUUGCUGGACAGUGACUGACGCUGAGGCACGAAAGCGUGGGGAGCAAACAGGAUUAGAUACCCUGGUAGUCCACGCCGUAAACGAUGAGUGCUAGGUGUUGGGGGUUCAUCCCCUCAGUGCCGAAGGAAACCCAAUAAGCACUCCGCCUGGGGAGUACGGUCGCAAGACUGAAACUCAAAGGAAUUGACGGGGGCCCGCACAAGCAGUGGAGCAUGUGGUUUAAUUCGAAGCAACGCGAAGAACCUUACCAGGGCUUGACAUCCCUCUGACCGGUUCAGAGAUGGACCUUCCCUUCGGGGCAGAGGAGACAGGUGGUGCAUGGUUGUCGUCAGCUCGUGUCGUGAGAUGUUGGGUUAAGUCCCGCAACGAGCGCAACCCUUGACCUGUGUUACCAGCACGUAAUGGUGGGACUCACAGGUGACUGCCGGCGUAAGUCGGAGGAAGGUGGGGAUGACGUCAAAUCAUCAUGCCCUUUAUGUCCUGGGCUACACACGUGCUACAAUGGGCGGUACAACGGGAAGCGAGACCGCGAGGUGGAGCGAAACCCAAAAAGCCGUUCGUAGUUCGGAUUGCAGGCUGCAACCCGCCUGCAUGAAGCCGGAAUUGCUAGUAAUCGCGGAUCAGCAUGCCGCGGUGAAUCCGUUCCCGGGCCUUGCACACACCGCCCGU